GACGAACGCUGGCGGCGUGCCUAACACAUGCAAGUCGAACGGGGGUAUUUAUUUCGAUGAAUACCUUAGUGGCGAACGGGUGAGUAACGCGUGAGCAACCUAUCCUUAAGAGGGGGAUAACAUCUGGAAACAGAUGCUAAUACCGCAUAAGACCACACUGCCGCAUGGCAGAGGGGUCAAAGGAGCAAUCCGUUUAAGGAGGGGCUCGCGUCCCAUUAGAUAGUUGGUGAGGUAACAGCUCACCAAGUCAGCGAUGGGUAGCCGAGCUGAGAGGCUGAUCGGCCACACUGGAACUGAGACACGGUCCAGACUCCUACGGGAGGCAGCAGUGGGGAAUAUUGGGCAAUGGGGGGAACCCUGACCCAGCAACGCCGCGUGAGGGAAGAAGGCCUUCGGUUGUAACUCUGUCAUUAGGAGAAGAAAGUAGACGGUACCUAAUGAGGAAGCCCCGGCUAACUACGUGCCAGCAGCCGCGGUAAAACCGUAGGACGUG
This 493-nucleotide ribosomal RNA is filed under the name uncultured bacterium. RNAcentral's name for it is "bacterial SSU rRNA". It matches the Rfam family "Bacterial small subunit ribosomal RNA", at positions 28 to 536 of the family's 1533-position model. The record is from RNAcentral.